UUCGUCAUCGGCAGGAUCCGACGGUUGG
Molecule: small RNA, 28 nt
Filed under: Bombyx mori (domestic silkworm)
Lineage: Eukaryota; Metazoa; Arthropoda; Insecta; Lepidoptera; Bombycidae
Description: ovarian small RNA-1609
Source: RNAcentral